Long non-coding RNA from Oncorhynchus tshawytscha (Chinook salmon), 1889 nucleotides. The record is from Ensembl. NCBI's taxonomy places the organism in Eukaryota, Metazoa, Chordata, Actinopteri, Salmoniformes, Salmonidae.
AGAGACAGACACAAGGACAGGCACGGAGACAGAGCCAGACCACGCUAUAGCUCACAGAGCCAGACCCCACUAUAGUCCAGAGUCAGACCCCACUAUAGCCCACAGAGCCAGCCCACAGAGCUAGACCAUGCUAUAGCCCACAGAGCCAGACCACACUAUAGCCAACAGAGCCAGACCCCACUAUAGCCCACAGAGCCAGACCACACUACAGCCCACAGAGCAAGACCCCACUAUAGCCCACAGAGCCAGACCACACUAUAGCCUACAGAGCCAGACCCCACUAUAGCCCACAGAGCCAGACCACACUAUAGCCCACAGAGCCAGACCACACUAUAGCCCACAGAGGCAGACCACACUAUAGCCCAGAGCCAGACCCCACUAUAGCCCAGAGGCAGACCCCACUAUAGCCCACAGAGCCAGACCCCACUAUAGCCCACAGAGCCAGACCACACUAUAGCCCAGAGAACCAGGCCCCACUAUAGCCCACAGAGCCAGACCACACUAUAGCCCACAGAGCCAGACCACACUAUAGCCCAUAGAGCCAGACCCCACUUUAGCCCACAGAGCCAGACCACACUAUAGCCCACAGAACCAGACCCCACUAUAGCCCACAGAGCAAGACCACACUAUAGCCCACAGAGCCAGACCCCACUAUAGCCCACAGAGCCAGACCCCACUAUAGCCCACAGAGCCAGACCACACUAUAGCCCACAGAGCCAGACCCCACUUUAGCCCACAGAGCCAGACCACACUAUAGCCCACAGAACCAGGCCCCACUAUAGCCCACAGAGCAAGACCACACUAUAGCCCACAGAGCCAGACCCCACUUUAGCCCACAGAGCCAGACCACACUAUAGCCCACAGAACCAGGCCCCACUAUAGCCCACAGAGCAAGACCACACUAUAGCCCACAGAGCCAGACCCCACUUUAGCCCACAGAGCCAGACCACACUAUAGCCCACAGAACCAGGCCCCACUUUAGCCCACAGAGCCAGACCACACUAUAGCCCACAGAACCAGGCCCCACUAUAGCCCACAGAGCCAGACCACACUAUAGCCCAGAGCCAGACCACACUAUAGCCCACAGAACCAGGCCCAACUAUAGUCCACAGAGCCAGACCACACUAUAGCCCACAGAGCCAGACCCCACUAUAGCCCACAGAGCCAGACCCCACUAUAGCCCACAGAGCCAGACCCCACUAUAGCCCACAGAGCCAGACCCCACUAUAGCCAACAGAGCAGGACCCCACUAUAGCCCACAGAGCCAGACCACACUAUAGCCCACAAAACCAGGCCCCACUAUAGCCCACAGAGCCAGACCCCGCUAUAGCCCACAGAGCCAGACCCCACUAUAGCCCACAGAGCCAGACCACACUAUAGCCCAGAGACAGACCCCACAGAGCCAGACCCCACUAUAGCCCACAGAGCCAGACCCCACUAUAGCCCACAGAGCCAGACCCCGCUAUAGCCCACAGAGCCAGACGCCACUAUAGCCCACAAGCCAGACCCCACAGAGCCAGACCACACUAUAGCCCACAGAGUCAGACACAGAGCCAGACCACACUAUAGCCCACAGAGCCAGACCCCACUAUAGCCCACAGAGCCAGACCCCACUAUAGCCCACAGAGCCAGACCCCACUAUAGCCCACAGAACCAGGCCCCACUAUAGCCCAGAGAGCCAGACCACACUAUAGCCCACAGAGCCAGACCCCACUAUAGCCCACAGAGCCAGACCCCACUAUAGCCCACAGAGCCAGACCCCACUAUAGCCCACAGAACCAGACCACACUAUAGCCCACAGAGCCAGACCCAACUAUAGCCCACAGAGCCAGACCCCACUAUAGCCCACAGAGCCAAACCCCACAGAGCCAGGCACCACUAUAGCCCAG